GACGAACGCUGGCGGCGUGCUUAACACAUGCAAGUCGAACGAUGAAACCUAGCUUGCUAGGUCGAUUAGUGGCGAACGGGUGAGUAACACGUGACUAACCUGCCCCUUUCUCUGGGAUAACGCUCCGAAAGGAGUGCUAAUACCGGAUACUCACACCGAGGCACAUGCCUUGGCGUGGCAAGUUUUUCGGAAAGGGAUGGGGUCGCGGCCUAUCAGCUUGUUGGUGAGGUAACGGCUCACCAAGGCGACGACGGGUAGCCGGCCUGAGAGGGCGACCGGCCACACUGGGACUGAGACACGGCCCAGACUCCUACGGGAGGCAGCAGUGGGGAAUAUUGCACAAUGGGCGCAAGCCUGAUGCAGCGACGCCGCGUGAGGGAUGAAGGUCUUCGGAUUGUAAACCUCUUUCAGUAGGGACGAAGCGAAAGUGACGGUACCUAAAGAAGAAGCACCGGCUAACUACGUGCCAGCCGCCGCGGUAA
Molecule: ribosomal RNA, 482 nt
Filed under: uncultured bacterium
Lineage: Bacteria
Description: partial 16S ribosomal RNA
Rfam family: Bacterial small subunit ribosomal RNA
Source: RNAcentral